RNAcentral lists this ribosomal RNA (253 nucleotides) under uncultured bacterium. RNAcentral's name for it is "partial 16S ribosomal RNA". It matches the Rfam family "Bacterial small subunit ribosomal RNA", at positions 524 to 776 of the family's 1533-position model. RNAcentral also lists the same sequence under 1 other name. The record is from RNAcentral.
UACGUAGGGUGCGAGCGUUAAUCGGAAUUACUGGGCGUAAAGCGUGCGCAGGCGGUUGAUUAAGACAGGCGUGAAAUCCCCGGGCUUAACCUGGGAACUGCGCUUGUGACUGGUCGGCUAGAGUACGGCAGAGGGGGGUGGAAUUCCACGUGUAGCAGUGAAAUGCGUAGAGAUGUGGAGGAACACCGAUGGCGAAGGCAGCCCCCUGGGCCGAUACUGACGCUCAUGCACGAAAGCGUGGGUAGCAAACAGG